GCUCCCAUGGCGUAUUGGUCACUGCGCUCGCCUUGCACGCGGGAGACCCGGGUUCGAUUCCCGGCGGGGUCA
This 72-nucleotide transfer RNA is filed under the name Diaphorina citri (Asian citrus psyllid). It matches the Rfam family "tRNA". Rfam says of the family: Transfer RNA (tRNA) molecules are approximately 80 nucleotides in length. Their secondary structure includes four short double-helical elements and three loops (D, anti-codon, and T loops). Further hydrogen bonds mediate the characteristic L-shaped molecular structure. tRNAs have two regions of fundamental functional importance: the anti-codon, which is responsible for specific mRNA codon recognition, and the 3' end, to which the tRNAs corresponding amino acid is attached (by aminoacyl-tRNA synthetases). tRNAs cope with the degeneracy of the genetic code in two manners: having more than one tRNA (with a specific anti-codon) for a particular amino acid; and 'wobble' base-pairing, i.e. permitting non-standard base-pairing at the 3rd anti-codon position. Lineage: Eukaryota; Metazoa; Arthropoda; Insecta; Hemiptera; Psyllidae. The record is from Rfam by way of RNAcentral.